This 3714-nucleotide long non-coding RNA is filed under the name Marmota monax (woodchuck). Lineage: Eukaryota; Metazoa; Chordata; Mammalia; Rodentia; Sciuridae. The record is from RNAcentral.
UUCCUGGUAUCUUCUCAUUUCUCCAGCUCUGAAGACUUGACCAAUUGAAGAUCCUACAACCUGGUUAGGGCGAGGACUCCAGCGGCUGGAUCAGCCCCUUCUGCUGUCCUGCAAGGACAGCUGCUGCGCCAGCCCCCGUGCCUGCAGUCCUAGGUCUCCAGUCCCAUCUGUUAGGUGUGCAGCUCACGAACUUUCCUGGAGGCCUGUUGCUCUUGCUAGUUUCUCAAAGUGUGUCCUACUGAAAAUAUUUCCCAAACGUGAAUUUCUACACUAGAAAACCCAGGCCUCCUUGUCAUAAGAACAGCUGAGAUUUCAUUACAGAGCAGAACUGACUGGGGCGACCUGGCUGGUAAGGAGUGGUGGUGCUUCUCUGUGGUCCCAACUACUUGGAGGCUGAAGUGAGAAGACUGCUAGAGUCCAGGAGUUCAAGAGCAGCCUGGGCAAAUAAUGAGAUGCCUGUCUCAAGAAAGGAAAGAGGCAAGCGAGGAAGGAGGGAACUGCAGCCUCCCAAUGACUUCAGCAGCACACCAUAAAUGUGAGCAAAAGCCAGUCUCCUGAUUCUGCUAGCCCCAUUUGGCCUCCAACACCUGCAGUCACCUCAACCCAUCAUCCCAGUCUAACCUGCCACGCUUGGCCACUGGUCUCUGGACAAACCAGUGGACUAAAGGUAACCACACCCCGAGGGGGCGGGGUACCUUCAGCUGUGCCAUCUCGCUUUCCUCUGUUGGCAGCCACCAGGCCGGGUCCAGGGCAAGGCGGAGGUGCCCAGGGCAGGGCAUUGGAAGAGGCACUCCUUUGCUAGGGUUGCUCUCACUCCUCCGUCUGAGAGCCGCCGCCCCCCUGCUCUUUGCAUCUGAGGCAUCUAUCUCCCUUGUCUCAUGCCAGUCCCAGGCUCGGGUCCCAGCUAGGGUGCGUUCUUCUGGUGUGAUAGAAAGAAUACCAGCCCCAGGAAGGGAGGAAGGAGAAGUAGAUAAUUUGUAGGGUGACCCCGGACUACUUGGGGAAGGGAAAGAAGUCAUACAGAAAAGUGAGACAGCAGUGAUUUGGUCUGUGGACAGGGGAAGAGCCGAGGCCUGCAGGGGUCUGGGAUAGGACCCACUAACAGGAUGAUGCCAGGGUAUGGUGAGCUGGCCAGGGCCCUGGCAGCUGGCAGGGCAACUAACUCUUGGCUUUAUCUCAGCCUGUUUUCACAGAGUCACAUUAGAAAGUGCAUCCUGGUUUGAGAAGGAGAAAGAAAAAUCAGAAAAUCUUUAAAUUAAACUACAAAUUCUGGGAUUGGGGAUGUAGCUCAGUGGUAGGGCACUUGCCUAACAUAAGCGAACAAACCAAACCUAUCCUCCCACACCUGUACUCCCAGCAGAAGAAUCAUAAGGUCAAGGUGACCCUGUCUCAAAAUAAAAAAGGACUGGGAGGCAUAGCUCAGUGGUGGAACACCCCUGGGUUCAUCUCCAGUACACACCUCCAAACCCAAAGUCACCUAUAAAUCCUCUGUACUAAGUUUUGCUUGUUGCUAUUUGUUUGUUUUUGUUUUUCAGUACUGGGAUCAAACCCAGGGCCUCACCCGUGCUGGGUGGGGUAGUAUCGCUACCUCUGAGCUAUCUCCCAGCCCUUGUGUAUUUAUUUGGUACUGGGAUUGAACCCAGGGGCAUUCUACCACUAAGCUGCAAUUCUGUCCUUUUUUAUGAGACAGGAUCUUGCUUAGUUGCUGAGGCUAGCUUCAAAUUUGUGAUCCUUCUGCCUCAAUCUCUCAAGUCACUGGAAUUAUAGGUAACUUAGGGCUCUUGAUAUCCACCAUCUUUUUUGAGGGAGAAUGUGUAUUGAAUUUAGCAACUUGACUUUGCAUAGUGUUUUUUAGGUUACAAAGUUCUCUGAUAUUGCUUUUUAAAAAACAUUUAUUUUUUAGUUGUAGGUGGACACAAUACCUUUUUAUUUUACUUUAUUUUUUUAAAGACAGAGAGAAUUUUUUAAAAUUUAUAUUUUAGUUUUCGAUGAACACAACAUCUUUAUUUUAUUUUUAUGUGGUGCUGAGGAUCGAACCCAGCGCAUGCCAGGCGAGCACGUUACCGCUUGAGCCACAUCCCCAGCCCCACCUUUUUAUUUUAUUUUUAUGUGGUGUUGAGGAUCAAACCCACUGCCUCACGCAUGCUAGGUGAGAGUGCUACCCCCGAGCCACAACCCAGCCCCAUCUGAUAUUGCUUUUUUAAGGCUCAAAAAUUUCUCUGUGCUUUUGCCCAUUUCUCUUCCCAAUUCCUAAAUAUCUCUUUCCCUUCCUAGUCUGCUGGUUGACAACCAUUUUUAAAGCAGUUUUAUUGAGAUAUAAAUGAUAGGCCAUACAAUUCAUGAAUUUAAGUUGUGCAAUUCAGUGGUUUUUACUAUAUUCAAAGUUGCAUGACCUUCGCAAUAAUCACUUUUUGAAUAUUUCCUUCACCCCUAAAAGAAAUUCUGAGCUGGGUGUGGUGGCAUAUGCCUGUAAUCCCAGUCACUUAGGAGGCUGAGGCAGGAGGAUUGCAGGUUUGAAGCCAGCCUUAGCAAUUUAGCAAGGCUGUAAGCGACCUAGUGAGUCCCUUUCUCAAAAUAAAAAAUCAGAAAGGUCUUGGGAUGUGACUCAGAGUGGUACUAAAAAAUAAAAUACAAAAAUUCUGGAUCCAUUAAUAGUCACUUCCUAUCUGCCCCUAGCCUCUACCCCUGACUGUGGGCAGCCACUGAUGGCUUCUGCAUCUGUAGAUCUGCCUGUUCUGGGCUUUCUGUUUUUUGCCCUGGCUGGAACCUGGUACAUCUAGGCAAAGGCUCCACAGUAUAGCCUUUUUAUUGACUUUUUUUCUUUCCUUUGGUGGUGCUGAGGAUUGAACCCAGGGCCUUGUGCAUGAAAGGCAAGCGCUCUAUCAACUGAGCUAUAUCCCCAGCCCCUUUAUUAACGGUUUUGAGACAGAUUCUUGCUAAUAAGUUGAACUUGGAUCCUCCUGCUGAAACAGACUGAAUCUGCCCCUCCUCCCCACUUCGAACAGACUCCUCCUGCUGAGAAACACUGAAGGGCUAAGGCCCCAUGGCCAGGUGCCCAGGAAGUGAGCAGAGAUAGCCCCUGCCCUGUCUUAACAGGGCAACUGAAUCUACCUAUGUGUGACACUUGCUUCUGUGGGGCCAGUGGGGAGAAGCAAACUGAAUUCUCCCAGUUUGGUCAAACUGCAUAAAGUUCAUUUUUCCUUUUUCCAACUUGUUCUUAUUUCUGACACAGGCAAGCCAUCCAGGAUCCAGGCAGGACCCCUGGGCCAGACUGCAGGUGACACUGCCUCAGCCUCUUGGGUAGCUGGGAUUAUAGGCAUGUGCCAUCAUGCCCAGUUUCUGUUUUCUGUUUUUUUCAGCACUGGGGACUGAAUCCCGGGGUGCUUCACCACUGAACUACAUCCCCACCCCACCCCUUUUUAAAAUUUUAUUAUUAUUUUUUUAGUUGGAGUUGGACACAAUACUUUCUUUUAUUUAUUUAUUUUUAUGUGGUGCUGAGGAUUGAACUCAGUCUCUCCCAGGUGCCAGAUAAGUGCUCCACCACUGCUUUUCGUUAACAAGCACUUCAUUUCCAAGAGCUUUUCGUUUUUUAAUUUUGAGACACUGUCUAAAUUGCCGAGGCUGGCUCUGAAUUUGCGAUCCUUCCUCAGUCUCCCUAGUUGUUGGGAUUAUAGGUGAGUGCCGCUGUGACCUGCUCUUUUUUUUUUUUUUUUG